RNAcentral lists this ribosomal RNA (468 nucleotides) under uncultured bacterium. RNAcentral describes it as "partial 16S ribosomal RNA". It matches the Rfam family "Bacterial small subunit ribosomal RNA", at positions 28 to 507 of the family's 1533-position model. The record is from RNAcentral.
GACGAACGCUGGCGGCGUGCUUAACACAUGCAAGUCGAACGGAAAGACGCGGCGUUUGUUCGUUGCUCGUGUGGCGAGCGGGUGAGUAACACGUGAGGAACCCCUCCUUAACUUUGUGAUAACUUCAGGGAACUCCGGCGAAUAUCGCAUAUGAUCUACUGCUGCAUGUUGGUGGAUGGAAAGAUUCGGCCGUUCUGGAUGGAAUCGAGGCUUAUCCGCUGGAUUGUGGGGUAGGUGCGUUCAAAGGCUUUGACGGGUAGGCGGCCUGAGAGGGUGACCGGCCACAUUGGGCCUGAGAUACGGACCAGACGCGUACGGGCGGCAGCAGUGGGGAGUCUUGCACAAUGGGGGGAAGCCUGAUGUAGCAACGCCGCGUGCGGGAUGACGGCUUUCGGGUUGUAAACCGAUUUGGAAUGAGACGAAGCGUGCGUGACGGUAAUGGGUAAAGAAGCACCGGCUAACUACGUG